This 254-nucleotide ribosomal RNA is filed under the name uncultured bacterium. RNAcentral describes it as "partial 16S ribosomal RNA". It matches the Rfam family "Bacterial small subunit ribosomal RNA", at positions 524 to 776 of the family's 1533-position model. The record is from RNAcentral.
GACGUAGGCAGCGAGCGUUGUUCGGAAUUACUGGGCGUAAAGAGUGUGUAGGCGGUGCUCUAAGUUCGGUGUGAAAUCUCCCGGCUUACUGGGAGGUGCAGCGGAACUAGAGUGCUGAGAGGGUGGGAGAGGUAAGCGGAAUUCCUGGUGUAGCGGUGAAAUGCGUAGAUAUCGAGGAGGAACACCUGUGGUGUAGACAGCUUACUGGACCACGUUCUGACGCUGGAGACACGAAAGCGUGGGUAGCAAACAGG